Molecule: ribosomal RNA, 497 nt
Filed under: uncultured bacterium
Lineage: Bacteria
Description: partial 16S ribosomal RNA
Rfam family: Bacterial small subunit ribosomal RNA
Source: RNAcentral
GAUGAACGCUGGCGGCGUGCCUAAUACAUGCAAGUCGAGCGAACAGACGAGGAUCUUGCUCCUUUGACGUUAGCGGCGGACGUGUGAGUAACUCGUUUUUAACCUACCUAUAUUUCUUGGAUAACUUCGGGAAACCGGAUCUUAUACCGUAUAAUAUUUCUAUCCGCAUGUUUCUAUAGUUUAAUAUUGCUUUUCUAUCUCUUAUAGAUGUUCCUGCGCCGUAUUUGCUAGUUGGUUAUGUAACGGCUUACCAAGGCAACGAUACGUAGCCGACGUGAGAGGGUGAUCGGCGAAACUGGAAGUGAGACACGGUACAGAGAACUACGGGAGGCAGCAGAAGGGAAUAUGACGAAAUGGGCGAAAGCAUGACGGAGCAAAGCGGAGUGAGAGAUGAAGGACUACGGAUCGUAAAAAUAUGUUAUGAGGGAAGAAAAAAAGUGAAAGUAAAAGAGAACGGAAUGACGGUAACAAAAAAGAAAGCAACGGCUAACUACGUG